UACGUAGGCGGGAAAUUAAGUCAGUAGUGAAAUCCCACAGCUUAACUGUGGAACUGUUAUUGAUACUGGUUUUCUUGAAUAUAGUUGAGGUAGGCGGAAUGUGUAAUGUAGCGGUGAAAUGCUUAGAUAUUACACAGAACACCGAUUGCGAAGGCGGCUUACUAAGCUAUGAUUGACGCUGAGGUACGAAAGCGUGGGGAGCGAACAGGAUUAGAUACCCUGGUAGUCC
Molecule: ribosomal RNA, 229 nt
Filed under: uncultured bacterium
Lineage: Bacteria
Description: partial 16S ribosomal RNA
Rfam family: Bacterial small subunit ribosomal RNA
Source: RNAcentral